RNAcentral lists this unclassified non-coding RNA (431 nucleotides) under Athalia rosae (coleseed sawfly). RNAcentral's name for it is "misc RNA ENSAEAG00005002900.1". Lineage: Eukaryota; Metazoa; Arthropoda; Insecta; Hymenoptera; Athaliidae. The record is from RNAcentral.
CUUGCUGUAUCCUUUGGCCAGUAUCGUUGACGUUACCAACUCCUCGUUGGAUUCGCCUCUGGUGGACUCUUCGCUACCAGAUAAUUGAUAAGGAGAUGAGAGCUGCAUGGGAGGGCCGAUGGAUUCAGAGCUACCACCGCCCAGACGCGCGCUAUCAACUUCUGAGAUGCAAAUCCUUUCACCCAGAGCCAAGGCCAGCGCCUUGCCAAAACCUUCGCGAGGGUCGUACGCCUUGCAGAACGCCAGAAGGAAAGCGGUGUAAUUAACAUUUUCACACCCCACUGCGUACAAGUCGCACAUUAAUUCCCUAGCGAGCAUGAAUCGCACCGUAUUCUGUGGAGUCAUAUUAUAGGAAUUCCCAGAGUACGUGCUACCGCAGAUGGAUUUUUGGCCGGGAAAAAUCGACCCGCAGUCACGCGAUGCGUGAUUAG